AACGAACGCUGGCGGCGUGGAUAAGACAUGCAAGUCGAACGGGAUUUUUUUCUGUAGCAAUACAGGAAAAAGUCUAGUGGCGAACGGGUGCGUAACACGUGAGCAACCUGCCGUGAAGUGGGGGAUAGCUCGCCGAAAGGCGAAUUAAUACCGCAUGUGGCCAAGGAAGACAUCUUCCUGACGCCAAAGCCGGGGCAACCUGGCGCUUCUCGAGGGGCUCGCGGCCUAUCAGCUUGUUGGCGAGGUAACGGCUCACCCAGGCUAUGACGGGUAGCUGGUCUGGGAGGAAGACCAGCCACACUGGAACUGAGACACGGUCCAGACACCUACGGGUGGCAGCAGUCGAGAAUUUUUCACAAUGGGGGAAACCCUGAUGGAGCGACGCCGCGUGGAGGAUGAAGGUUUUCGGAUUGUAAACUCCUGUCAUUAGAGAACAAGGCACACGGUUUAACUGGCCGUGUGUUGAUAGUAUCUGAAGAGGAAGAGACGGCUAACUCUGUGCCAGCCGCCGCCGUAA
Molecule: ribosomal RNA, 517 nt
Filed under: uncultured bacterium
Lineage: Bacteria
Description: partial 16S ribosomal RNA
Rfam family: Bacterial small subunit ribosomal RNA
Source: RNAcentral